AUUGAACGCUGGCGGCAGGCCUAACACAUGCAAGUCGAGCGGGUGAAGGGAGCUUGCUCCUGGAUUCAGCGGCGGACGGGUGAGUAAUGCCUAGGAAUCUGCCUGGGAGUGGGGGAUAACGUCCGGAAACGGGCGCUAAUACCGCAUACGUCCUGAGGGAGAAAGUGGGGGAUCUUCGGACCUCUCGCUAUCAGAUGAGCCUAGGUCGGAUUAGCUAGAUGGUGGGGUAUAGGCCUACCAAGGCGACGAUCCAUAACUGGUCUGAGAGGAUGAUCAGUCACACUGGAACGAGGAUGAGGGGCCAAAUCGUAAGGGAGGCACCGUUGAGGAAUAUUGGACAAGGGGCGGAAGCCUGUACCAGCCAUGGCGCGUGUGUGAAGAGGAUCUUCGGAGUGUAAAGGACGUUAAGUUGGGAGUAAGGGCAUUAAGUUAUAAGCUUGCUGUUUUGACGGUACCAACAGAAUAAGCACCGGCUAACUUCGUG
This 484-nucleotide ribosomal RNA is filed under the name uncultured bacterium. Its description in RNAcentral is "partial 16S ribosomal RNA". It matches the Rfam family "Bacterial small subunit ribosomal RNA", at positions 30 to 507 of the family's 1533-position model. The record is from RNAcentral.